CGAGGCGCCUAGGCGGUCGCGUCCAUGCCGCAAGGCGUGGUCGAGGAAAGUCCGGGCUCCACAGAGCAGGGUGGUGGGUAACGCCCACCCGGGGUGACCCGCGGGCCAGUGCCACAGAGAACAGACCGCCCCGAUGCGCCGGUUCGCCGACGUGCCGGGGUAAGGGUGAAACGGCGGUGUAAGAGACCACCGGCACCGUGAGCGAUCACGGUGGCCAGGUAAACCCCACCCGGAGCAAGACCAGACAGCAGGCGGGUUGCUCGCCCUUGCCUGCGGGUAGGUCGCUGGAGGCCGUCAGCAAUGACGGUCCGAGAUGGAUGACCGUCCCACGACAGAACCCGGCUUAUCAGGCGCCUCGUCAC
RNAcentral lists this RNase P RNA (362 nucleotides) under Propioniferax innocua. RNAcentral describes it as "Bacterial RNase P class A". It matches the Rfam family "Bacterial RNase P class A". From Rfam's summary of the family: Ribonuclease P (RNase P) is a ubiquitous endoribonuclease, found in archaea, bacteria and eukarya as well as chloroplasts and mitochondria. Its best characterised activity is the generation of mature 5'-ends of tRNAs by cleaving the 5'-leader elements of precursor-tRNAs. The record is from Rfam by way of RNAcentral. Lineage: Bacteria; Bacillati; Actinomycetota; Actinomycetes; Propionibacteriales; Propionibacteriaceae.